Molecule: ribosomal RNA, 17 nt
Filed under: Thuja plicata (western redcedar)
Lineage: Eukaryota; Viridiplantae; Streptophyta; Pinopsida; Cupressales; Cupressaceae
Description: partial 26S ribosomal RNA
Source: RNAcentral
UACCCGCUGAGUUUAAG